UGAACGCUGGCGGCAUGCCUUACACAUGCAAGUCGAACGCGAAAGGGGGCAACCCUGAGUAGAGUGGCGAACGGGUGAGUAAUACAUCGGAACAUUUCCAGUAGCGAGGGAUAACCUCGAGAAAUCGAGGCUAAUACCGCAUACGUCCUACGGGAGAAAGCGGGGGACCGCAAGGCCUCGCACUAUUGGAGUGGCCGAUGUCGGAUUAGCUAGUUGGCGGGGUAAUAGCCCACCAAGGCAACGAUCCGUAGCUGGUCUGAGAGGAUGAUCAGCCACACUGGGACUGAGACACGGCCCAGACUCCUACGGGAGGCAGCAGUGGGGAAUUUUGGACAAUGGGCGCAAGCCUGAUCCAGCCAUGCCGCGUGAGUGAAGAAGGCCUCGG
This 385-nucleotide ribosomal RNA is filed under the name uncultured bacterium. RNAcentral describes it as "bacterial SSU rRNA". It matches the Rfam family "Bacterial small subunit ribosomal RNA", at positions 30 to 420 of the family's 1533-position model. The record is from RNAcentral.